UUACUCGGCUACUUGCCUUGUCUGGUUUCGCUUUUGGGGUUUUCCCCUUUUUACUUUGAGAAAAUUAGAGUGUUUCAAGCAGACUUGUGUCUUGAAUACUUCCAGCCAUGGGAAUAAUAAAAGUAGGGACUUUU
RNAcentral lists this ribosomal RNA (134 nucleotides) under Babesia gibsoni. RNAcentral describes it as "partial small subunit ribosomal RNA". The record is from RNAcentral. Lineage: Eukaryota; Apicomplexa; Aconoidasida; Piroplasmida; Babesiidae.